GACGAACGCUGGCGGCGUGCUUAACACAUGCAAGUCGAACGCUGAAGACCUGGCUUUUGUUGGGUUGGAUGAGUGGCGAACGGGUGAGUAACACGUGAGUAACCUGCCCUCUUCUUUGGGAUAACGCCCGGAAACGGGUGCUAAUACUGGAUAUUCACUGGCCUUCGCAUGGGGGUUGGUGGAAAGGUUUGUUCUGGUGGGGGAUGGGCUCGCGGCCUAUCAGCUUGUUGGUGGGGUGAUGGCCUACCAAGGCUUUGACGGGUAGCCGGCCUGAGAGGGUGACCGGUCACAUUGGGACUGAGAUACGGCCCAGACUCCUACGGGAGGCAGCAGUGGGGAAUAUUGCACAAUGGGCGAAAGCCUGAUGCAGCGACGCCGCGUGAGGGAUGGAGGCCUUCGGGUUGUAAACCUCUUUCGCUCAUGGUCAAGCCGCAACUGUGGGUUGUGGUGAGGGUAGUGGGAAAAGAAGCGCCGGCUAACUACGUG
RNAcentral lists this ribosomal RNA (486 nucleotides) under uncultured bacterium. RNAcentral's name for it is "partial 16S ribosomal RNA". It matches the Rfam family "Bacterial small subunit ribosomal RNA", at positions 28 to 507 of the family's 1533-position model. The record is from RNAcentral.